RNAcentral lists this ribosomal RNA (484 nucleotides) under uncultured bacterium. Its description in RNAcentral is "partial 16S ribosomal RNA". It matches the Rfam family "Bacterial small subunit ribosomal RNA", at positions 28 to 507 of the family's 1533-position model. The record is from RNAcentral.
GUUGAACGCUGGCGGCAUGCUUUACACAUGCAAGUCGAACGGCAGCGCGGGCUUCGGCCUGGCGGCGAGUGGCGAACGGGUGAGUAAUGCAUCGGAACGUGCCCAGUAGUGGGGGAUAGCCCGGCGAAAGCCGGAUUAAUACCGCAUACGACCUGAGGGUGAAAGCGGGGGACCGAAAGGCCUCGCGCUAUUGGAGCGGCCGAUGUCGGAUUAGCUAGUUGGUGGGGUAAAGGCUUACCAAGGCGACGAUCCGUAGCUGGUCUGAGAGGACGACCAGCCACACUGGGACUGAGACACGGCCCAGACUCCUACGGGAGGCAGCAGUGGGGAAUUUUGGACAAUGGGGGCAACCCUGAUCCAGCCAUGCCGCGUGCGGGAAGAAGGCCUUCGGGUUGUAAACCGCUUUUGUUCGGGAAGAAAUCCUCUGGGCUAAUACCCCGGGGGGAUGACGGUACCGGAAGAAUAAGCACCGGCUAACUACGUG